CCUACGGGAGGCAGCAGUGGGGAAUAUUGGACAAUGGGGGGAACCCUGAUCCAGCCAUGCCGCGUGUGUGAAGAAGUAUUUCGGUAUGUGAAGCUCUAUCAGCAGGGAAGAAAGUGACGGUACCUGAGUAAGAAGCCCCGGCUAACUACGUGCCAGCAGCCGCGGUAAU
Molecule: ribosomal RNA, 169 nt
Filed under: uncultured bacterium
Lineage: Bacteria
Description: partial 16S ribosomal RNA
Rfam family: Bacterial small subunit ribosomal RNA
Source: RNAcentral